This is a non-coding RNA of Camellia sinensis, 1014 nucleotides long. Lineage: Eukaryota; Viridiplantae; Streptophyta; Magnoliopsida; Ericales; Theaceae. The record is from RefSeq and is a predicted model, not a curated record.
UUUGGAUAUGGCUUUCUGGAGGUGGAUGGUUAAACAGUUUUUGGAGAAAGAGGCUUAUCAAUGUAUAUGUAGGCUUUUGUGAAAUAUUUUUGAUGUUGAUAGAGGUUGUAUCUGUAGCAGGGAUCUUUGUAUUUGGCUUGAAGAAUUAUGAAUAUUUAAUUGUAGAGAUUUAUUCCUAAAAAAAACUAUAGAGAUUUAAACAAUAUUUGAAUUAGAUACAGUUAAUAUUGUUGCAUGAUUUUGCAAGUAAAGGCAAUAAAGGGAUUAAAGUGUAAGUUGAAAAUUUCGAACUCGAAAGCCCAUAAAAUGGGAUUUUUUAUCGUCUAUGACUUCUCUCUAGCUUUAUACCUCCCUAUCAUUAGUUGCACUUUACUUUCUUUCUCUUAAGGAGUUACAACCAGAUGCUAAUAUGCACAGCUUCAGUUUCUUAUUACCUUUGGCAUUUUGGUAACUUAAAACACCCUUAGUCUGAAUUUUUUGCUGAAUUAUUAGGUUAUCGGACCUUCUCUCUCACACCUUUUAAACGAGUGAUGGGGGCUAUUUAACUUGCAAUCGCAGUCCACUCAAAUAUGUUUUCUACCACGAAUCUUGCCCCCAAGCUGGGCAAAUCAUCCGAUUAAAGGUUCGCCAUCUGUACGAAGUCCGCUCCAAUGUCACCUAGCAUUAUUGUGGCUCAUCUUCCAUGAUUGUUUUAAUGAGGAAGAGGCUUCUUCAUUCUCUUGCACUGGUUUUUGGUUGUAUAAUUGCUUCAUCUUUGGUCAAAUUGGGAGGAGUCAGAUGCUAAAGUAUUUUUAAGAAGCAACAUAAGUGCUGGAGCUAGAUUCAUGAGUUAUUUGGAAGCUUUCUAAUAUUUUUGGGUGCUAUAUGUAAAUACUGUUGGGGAAAUUAUUGUUGAUUUCCUCAUUAUUUAUUUAUUUAUUUAUUUUGAAUAUAAAAAUAUGUAGAAUUUACAUUUUGGAUAAAUUUGUGUAUAAGCUCACUAGUUUUUGUAAGUGGUGAAAUAUAUGCUAUUUU